Molecule: ribosomal RNA, 440 nt
Filed under: uncultured bacterium
Lineage: Bacteria
Description: bacterial SSU rRNA
Rfam family: Bacterial small subunit ribosomal RNA
Source: RNAcentral
CCUACGGGUGGCAGCAGUCAAGAAUAUUCCUCAAUGGCCGAAAGGCUGAAGGAGCGACGCCGCGUGGUGGAAGAAGGCCUUCGGGUUGUAAACACCUUUUAUUAGGGACGAAUUUUGACGGUACCUAAUGAAUAAGAGGUUGCUAACUCUGUACCAGCAGCAGCGGUAAUACAGAGACCUCGAGCGUUACCCGGAUUUACUGGGCGUAAAGCGUCCGCAGGCGGUUCAGUGCGUCUUAUGUUAAAUGUUAGGGCUCAACCUUGACACUGCGUGAGAUACGGCUGAACUAGAGACUGGGAGAGGUAAGCGGAAUUCUCGGUGUAGUAGUAAAAUGCGUUAAUAUCGAGAGAACACCAAUUGCGAAGGCAGCUUACUGGAACAGAUCUGACGCUCAUGGACGAAAGCGUGGGGAGCGAAAGGGAUUAGAUACCCCAGUAGUC